This 492-nucleotide ribosomal RNA is filed under the name uncultured bacterium. RNAcentral describes it as "partial 16S ribosomal RNA". It matches the Rfam family "Bacterial small subunit ribosomal RNA", at positions 29 to 507 of the family's 1533-position model. The record is from RNAcentral.
AGUGAACGCUGGCGGUAGGCCUAACACAUGCAAGUCGAACGGCAGCACAGUAAGAGCUUGCUCUUACGGGUGGCGAGUGGCGGACGGGUGAGGAAUACAUCGGAAUCUACUUUUUCGUGGGGGAUAACGUAGGGAAACUUACGCUAAUACCGCAUACGACCUACGGGUGAAAGCAGGGGAUCUUCGGACCUUGCGCGAUUGAAUGAGCCGAUGUCGGAUUAGCUAGUUGGCGGGGUAAAGGCCCACCAAGGCGACGAUCCGUAGCUGGUCUGAGAGGAUGAUCAGCCACACUGGAACUGAAACACGGUCCAGACUCCUACGGGAGGCAGAAGUGGGGAAUAUUGGACAAUGGGCGCAAGCCUGAUCCAGCCAUACCGCGUGGGUGAAGAAGGCCUUCGGGUUGUAAAGCCCUUUUGUUGGGAAAGAAAAGCAGCAGGUUAAUACCCCGCUGUUCUGACGGUACCCAAAGAAUAAGCACCGGCUAACUUCGUG